UGGGGAAUUUUGGACAAUGGGGGAAACCCUGAUCCAGCCAUCCCGCGUGUGCGAUGAAGGCCUUCGGGUUGUAAAGCACUUUUGGCAGGAAAGAAACGUCAUGGGUUAAUACCCCGUGAAACUGACGGUACCUGCAGAAUAAGCACCGGCUAACUACGUGCCAGCAGCCGCGGUAAUACGUAGGGUGCAAGCGUUAAUCGGAAUUACUGGGCGUAAAGCGUGCGCAGGCGGUUCGGAAAGAAAGAUGUGAAAUCCCAGAGCUCAACUUUGGGACUGCAUUUUUAACUACCGGGCUAGAGUGUGUCAGAGGGAGGUGGAAUUCCGCGUGUAGCAGUGAAAUGCGUAGAUAUGCGGAGGAACACCGAUGGCGAAGGCAGCCUCCUGGGAUAACACUGACGCUCAUGCACGAAAGCGUGGGGAGCAAACAGG
This 429-nucleotide ribosomal RNA is filed under the name Acidobacteriota bacterium. RNAcentral describes it as "Acidobacteria bacterium partial 16S ribosomal RNA". It matches the Rfam family "Bacterial small subunit ribosomal RNA", at positions 355 to 776 of the family's 1533-position model. Lineage: Bacteria; Pseudomonadati; Acidobacteriota. The record is from RNAcentral.